AGCCCAUCCGCUCGCCGCGGAUGCAGGAACUCCGGUGCGAGCCCGGGGCGGUUCCGCCACUGUGAGUCUUCGGACGAGCCAGACACUGACCGCGGCGGCUCCCACCAC
Molecule: non-coding RNA, 108 nt
Filed under: Aeromicrobium sp. Root344
Lineage: Bacteria; Bacillati; Actinomycetota; Actinomycetes; Propionibacteriales; Nocardioidaceae
Also listed under: 1 other name
Source: RNAcentral